CAGUCGCCGCGGGAAUACGGAGGAUCCAAGCGUUAUCCGGAAUCAUUGGGUUUAAAGGGUCCGUAGGCGGUCUUGUAAGUCAGUGGUGAAAGCCCAUCGCUCAACGGUGGAACGGCCAUUGAUACUGCAGGACUUGAAUUAUUGGGAAGUAACUAGAAUAUGUAGUGUAGCGGUGAAAUGCUUAGAGAUUACAUGGAAUACCAAUUGCGAAGGCAGGUUACUACCAAUUGAUUGACGCUGAUGGACGAAAGCGUGGGUAGCGAACAGGAUUAGAGACCCCCGUAGUCCCUGUCUCUUAUAA
RNAcentral lists this ribosomal RNA (301 nucleotides) under uncultured bacterium. Its description in RNAcentral is "partial 16S ribosomal RNA". It matches the Rfam family "Bacterial small subunit ribosomal RNA", at positions 509 to 809 of the family's 1533-position model. The record is from RNAcentral.